RNAcentral lists this ribosomal RNA (253 nucleotides) under uncultured bacterium. RNAcentral's name for it is "partial 16S ribosomal RNA". It matches the Rfam family "Bacterial small subunit ribosomal RNA", at positions 524 to 776 of the family's 1533-position model. The record is from RNAcentral.
UACGGAGGGUGCAAGCGUUAUCCGGAUUCACUGGGUUUAAAGGGCGUGUAGGUGGUUUCGUAAGUCUGGCGUGAAAUUUUUCGGCUUAACCAGGAAAGGUCGUCGGAUACUGCGGAGCUAGAGGACGGUAGAGGCGUGUGGAAUUCCGGGUGUAGUGGUGAAAUGCGUAGAGAUCCGGAGGAACACCAGUGGCGAAGGCGACACGCUGGGCCGUACCUGACACUGAUGCGCGACAGCAUGGGGAGCAAACAGG